AUCAUUUCCAAGUUGUUGCCCAAAGGUCAUUUUCAGGCUCCUUGCGGUUGGAAAGAAAUGUAAUUUUUGACAACUUCAGGUAAGCUAUUAACCAAAUAGAAUAACCAAGUGUUGAAAUGACUAGUUAUUAAUACCUGGGCUUCCCUAGUGGCUCAGACAGUAAAGAAUCUGCCUGUAACACAGGAGAUACAGGUUCAAUCCCUGGGUUGGGAAGAUCCCCUCAAGAAGAAAAUGGCAACCCGCUCCAGUAUUUUUGCCCAGGAAAUCCCACGGACAGAGAAGCCUGAUGGUGAGACUCUAAAGAAUGGAACUUACAAGGAACGGCCCUGCUCUGUGGGUGGAGAAAGGGAAGAAAUGACAUAAAAAAGACAACCUUACUGUAUGCCAAAGAAGCAUUCCCAACUACCUGGAAUAAUCUGCAUAAGUCAAGAUGAAUUUCCCCAUAUACAUCAAAAAGAGUGACAAGCACUUCUGUUUAUCAGCUCGCCUGUGGGGACUGCCACAUGGUAACAGCAUAAAGAGAAUUCAUAAAUUACUUUAUCCUCAUACUUUGAAAAUAUGUAAUUCCUGAUAAAUGUUAAACAUUUUGAGAGAUGUACAUUAUUUUGAAAUCUUUGCAUAAAAGGACACUUAACACUAAUGAAUCUAUCUUCAGGGCAGCAGUGGAGAUGCAGACAUAGAGAACACGUUUGGACACAGUGAGGGAGGGAGAAGGUGGAAUUAUUUGAGAGGGUAAACAUAUGCAUUGCUGCUACUGCUAAGUCACUUCAGUCAUGUCCAACUCUGUGCGACCCCAUAGACGGCAGCCCACCAGGCUCCCCUGUCCCUGGGAUGCUCCAGGCAAGAACACUGGAGUGGGUUGCCAUUUCCUUCUCCAAUGCAUGAAAGUGAAAAGUGAAAGUGAAGUCGCUCAGUCAUGUCUGACUCCUAGCGACCCCAUGGACUGCAGCCCAUCAGGCCCCUCCGUCCAUGGGAUUUUCCAGGCAAGAGUACUGGAGUGGAGUGCCAUUGCCUUAUGCAUUACCAUAUGUAAAACAGAUAGCUGGUGGGAAUUUGCUGUAUAACACAGGGAACUCAAAGCCAGUGCUUUGUGACAAC
Molecule: long non-coding RNA, 1098 nt
Organism: Bos taurus (domestic cattle)
Lineage: Eukaryota; Metazoa; Chordata; Mammalia; Artiodactyla; Bovidae
Source: Ensembl